CAGCCAUGCCGCGUGAGUGAUGAAGGCCUUAGGGUCGUAAAGCGCCUGUGAAGAUAAUGACGGUAGCAGGUAAAGAAACCCCGGCUAACUCCGUGCCAGCAGCCGCGGUAAUACGGAGGGGGUUAGCGUUGUUCGGAAUUACUGGGCGUAAAGCGCACGUAGGCGGACUGGAAAGUUGGGGGUGAAAUCCCGGGGCUCAACCCCGGAACUGCCUCCAAAACUAUCAGUCUAGAGUUCGAGAGAGGUGAGUGGAAUUCCGAGUGUAGAGGUGAAAUUCGUAGAUAUUCGGAGGAACACCAGUGGCGAAGGCGGCUCACUGGCUCGAUACUGACGCUGAGGUGCGAAAGUGUGGGGAGCAAACAGGAUUAUACCCUGGUAGUCCACACCGUAAACGAUGAAUGCUUCGGUAGCAUGCUAUUCGGUGACACACCUAACGGAUUAAGCAU
RNAcentral lists this ribosomal RNA (446 nucleotides) under Ruegeria sp. 1S5 14. RNAcentral's name for it is "bacterial SSU rRNA". It matches the Rfam family "Bacterial small subunit ribosomal RNA", at positions 389 to 867 of the family's 1533-position model. Lineage: Bacteria; Pseudomonadati; Pseudomonadota; Alphaproteobacteria; Rhodobacterales; Roseobacteraceae. The record is from RNAcentral.